Molecule: ribosomal RNA, 323 nt
Filed under: uncultured eukaryote
Lineage: Eukaryota
Description: partial 18S ribosomal RNA
Rfam family: Eukaryotic small subunit ribosomal RNA
Source: RNAcentral
CCCUUAGACGUUCUGGGCCGCACGCGCGCUACACUGACCAGUGCAACAAGCAUCCGUCCUUGGCCGACAGGCCCGGGCAAUCUUUGAACGCUGGUCGUGAUGGGGAUAGACUUUUGCAAUUUUUGGUCUUCAACGAGGAAUUCCUAGUAAACGCAAGUCAUCAACUUGCAUUGAUUACGUCCCUGCCCUUUGUACACACCGCCCGUCGCACCUACCGAUUGAAUGGUCCGGUGAAAUCUUCGGAUUGCUGGAUAGGACUUCAUUGACCUAUCUGCGAGAAGUUGCUUGAACCUUAUCAUUUAGAGGAAGGAGAAGUCGUAACA